UUACGGCCAUAUAACUUUGAAACAUUGAUUCUCUUAUGAUCACCAAAGUUAAGCAACGUUGAGCCUGGUCACUAGAUGGGUGACCGCUUGGGAAUACCAGAUGCCGUAAGC
This is a non-coding RNA of Acanthosepion pharaonis, 111 nucleotides long. Lineage: Eukaryota; Metazoa; Mollusca; Cephalopoda; Sepiida; Sepiidae. The record is from the annotation of a GenBank genome assembly.